This 306-nucleotide ribosomal RNA is filed under the name uncultured Chloroflexota bacterium. Its description in RNAcentral is "bacterial SSU rRNA". It matches the Rfam family "Bacterial small subunit ribosomal RNA", at positions 28 to 337 of the family's 1533-position model. The record is from RNAcentral. Lineage: Bacteria; Bacillati; Chloroflexota.
GAUAAACGCUGGCGGCGUGCGUAAAACAUGUAAGUUGAACGGAGUCGACGCAAGUCGGCUUAGUGGCGGACGGCUGAGUAACGCGUAGGUGACUUGCCCCAAAGAGGGGAAUAACACCGCGAAAGCGGUGCUAAUACCGCAUGUGGUUGUGCGUAUAGACGCGUGCAACUAAAGCCCGCAAGGGUGCUUUGGGAGAGGCCUGCGUCCGAUUAGCUAGUUGGUGGGGUAACGGCCUACCAAGGCUCCGAUCGGUAGCUGAUCUGAGAGGAUGAUCAGCCAGACUGGGACUGAGACACGGCCCAGACU